RNAcentral lists this ribosomal RNA (262 nucleotides) under uncultured bacterium. RNAcentral describes it as "partial 16S ribosomal RNA". It matches the Rfam family "Bacterial small subunit ribosomal RNA", at positions 28 to 278 of the family's 1533-position model. The record is from RNAcentral.
GACGAACGCUGGCGGCGUGCUUAACACAUGCAAGUCGAGCGGUAAGGCCCUUUCGGGGGUACGACGAGCGGCGAACGGGUAGGAGUAACAACGUGGGUGGACCUCGCCCUCCAGCUCUGGGAGUAAGCCCGGGAAACCGUAGGGUCGUAAUACUGGAUAUGACUCCACGGUGCAUGCCGUGGGGUGGGAAAGCCUUGUGCGGCUGAGGAUGGGCCCGCGGCCUAUCAGCUUGUUGGUGGGGUGGAGGCCUACCAAGGCGACG